RNAcentral lists this ribosomal RNA (508 nucleotides) under uncultured Glomeraceae. Its description in RNAcentral is "SSU rRNA". It matches the Rfam family "Eukaryotic small subunit ribosomal RNA", at positions 569 to 1082 of the family's 1831-position model. Lineage: Eukaryota; Fungi; Glomeromycota; Glomeromycetes; Glomerales; Glomeraceae. The record is from RNAcentral.
AGCAGCCGCGGUAAUUCCAGCUCCAAUAGCGUAUAUUAAAGUUGUUGCAGUUAAAAAGCUCGUAGUUGAAUUUCGGGAUCAAGGAAUCGGUCAUGCCUUGGUAUGUACUGGUUUUAUUGGUUCUCACCUUCUAAAGAACCAUAAUGUCAUUCAUUUGAUGUUAUGGGGAAUUAGGACUGUUACCUUGAAAAAAUUAGAGUGUUUAAAGCAAGCUAACGCUUGAAUACAUUAGCAUGGAAUAAUGAAAUAGGACGUUCGAUCCUAUUUUGUUGGUUUCUAGGAUUGACGUAAUGAUUAAUAGGGAUAGUUGGGGGCAUUAGUAUUCAAUUGUCAGAGGUGAAAUUCUUGGAUUUAUUGAAGACUAACUACUGCGAAAGCAUUUGCCAAGGAUGUUUUCAUUAAUCAAGAACGAAAGUUAGGGGAUCGAAGACGAUCAGAUACCGUCGUAGUCUUAACCAUAAACUAUGCCGACUAGGGAUCGGAUGAUGUUAAUUUUUUAAUGUACUCA